Long non-coding RNA from Dermacentor silvarum, 246 nucleotides. RefSeq lists it as uncharacterized. The record is from RefSeq and is a predicted model, not a curated record. The transcript is spliced from 3 exons. Lineage: Eukaryota; Metazoa; Arthropoda; Arachnida; Ixodida; Ixodidae.
GUUGAUACCGCAUUUCAUAACAGAAGACUUCAGCGUCUCAGGCAUCUCAGGAAUUUUCUUGGCGGGCGUCGUGAGUGCAUCAAUCAGCACAGUGUCCUCGAUAGUGAAUUCUCAAGCAGCCGUAUGGUACUUUGACGUCAUCACUCCGUUCGUCCAAGUGUCUAACACACGUGUAGGCUGCACCGUAAAAGGAAUAGCGCUUGCAGUUGGCGCCACCAUGGCAGCUCUCAGCGUGGUGAUCCCCUA